CUCCGAUCAGUAUAAAUAAACAGACGCGAUCGUAAGGAUUAUAGUAUCUAGCAGUUAUCAAUCUAAUCAGCGAGUAUAUUAGCGAUUAUACAGUGUCUUAGCGAAUCCUCCUCUACGGACUGUACACUGGCGUGGACGUAUCGCCGCGUCUAACGGACUACACUUACGUUCUUGCGAAGCGACGCUUCUUUUCGACCAACGUUAGCACAUGCAUCGUCGUACGCGUUAGAGCAUAAAUGAGAAUGGAAAAA
RNAcentral lists this unclassified non-coding RNA (251 nucleotides) under Bombus terrestris (buff-tailed bumblebee). RNAcentral's name for it is "misc RNA ENSBTSG00005022944.1". Lineage: Eukaryota; Metazoa; Arthropoda; Insecta; Hymenoptera; Apidae. The record is from RNAcentral.